CAGCAGCCGCGGUAAUACGAAGGGUGCAAGCGUUACUCGGAAUUACUGGGCGUAAAGCGUGCGUAGGUGGUUUGUUAAGUCUGAUGUGAAAGCCCUGGGCUCAACCUGGGAACGGCAUUGGAUACUGGCUUACUAGAGUGCGGUAGAGGGUAGUGGAAUUCCCGGUGUAGCAGUGAAAUGCGUAGAUAUCGGGAGGAACAUCUGUGGCGAAGGCGACUACCUGGACCAGCACUGACACUGAGGCACGAAAGCGUGGGGAGCAAACAGGAUUAGAUACCCUGGUAGUCCACGCCCUAAACGAUGCGAACUGGAUGUUGGGUGCAACUUGGCACUCAGUAUCGAAGCUAACGCGUUAAGUUCGCCGCCUGGGGAGUACGGUCGCAAGACUGAAACUCAAAGGAAUUGACGG
RNAcentral lists this ribosomal RNA (409 nucleotides) under uncultured bacterium. RNAcentral describes it as "bacterial SSU rRNA". It matches the Rfam family "Bacterial small subunit ribosomal RNA", at positions 509 to 916 of the family's 1533-position model. The record is from RNAcentral.